RNAcentral lists this ribosomal RNA (500 nucleotides) under Narophis bimaculatus (black-naped burrowing snake). Its description in RNAcentral is "Simoselaps bimaculatus (black-naped burrowing snake) partial 16S ribosomal RNA". It matches the Rfam family "Bacterial large subunit ribosomal RNA", at positions 1844 to 2607 of the family's 2925-position model. Lineage: Eukaryota; Metazoa; Chordata; Lepidosauria; Squamata; Elapidae. The record is from RNAcentral.
UAUUAAAGGCAACGCCUGCCCAGUGAAUAAUUAAACGGCCGCGGUACCCUAACCGUGCAAAGGUAGCGUAAUCACUUGUCUAUUAAUUGUAGACCCGUAUGAAAGGCAUAAUGAGGGCCUAACUGUCUCUUUUAGUAAAUCAAUUAAACUGAUCUCCUAGUUCAAAAGCUAGGAUACCAACAUAAGACCAGAAGACCCUGUGAAGCUUUAACUAUGCUAUUAAACCUAAUAAUAGCUCCUUUAGGUUGGGGCGACCUUGGAAAAAAAAAGAACUUCCAAACACACAAUAUACAACAAUAUUGAAUUAGGCCAACAAGCCAACAACGACCCAGCACAGCUGAUAAUUGAAUCAAGUUACUCCAGGGAUAACAGCGCUAUCUUCUUCAAGAGCCCAUAUCAAAAAGAAGGUUUACGACCUCGAUGUUGGAUCAGGACAUCCUAAUGGUGCAGCCGCUAUUAAGGGUUCGUUUGUUCAACGAUUAACAGUCCUACGUGAUCUG